UACGUGGGGUGCAAGCGUUAAUCGGAAUUACUGGGCGUAAAGCGUGCGCAGGCGGUUUUGUAAGACUGUCGUGAAAUCCCCGGGCUCAACCUGGGAAUGGCGAUGGUGACUGCAAGGCUAGAGUUUGGCAGAGGGGGGUAGAAUUCCACGUGUAGCAGUGAAAUGCGUAGAUAUGUGGAGGAACACCGAUGGCGAAGGCAGCCCCCUGGGUCAAAACUGACGCUCAUGCACGAAAGCGUGGGGAGCAAACAGG
Molecule: ribosomal RNA, 253 nt
Filed under: uncultured bacterium
Lineage: Bacteria
Description: partial 16S ribosomal RNA
Rfam family: Bacterial small subunit ribosomal RNA
Source: RNAcentral